Molecule: non-coding RNA, 178 nt
Filed under: Blautia sp. CAG:257
Lineage: Bacteria; Bacillati; Bacillota; Clostridia; Lachnospirales; Lachnospiraceae
Also listed under: 3 other names
Description: 6S / SsrS RNA
Rfam family: 6S / SsrS RNA
About the family: E. coli 6S RNA was the first non coding RNA to be sequenced, but its function was unknown until recently. It consists of 184 nucleotides that fold into an extended hairpin structure with a large single-stranded internal bulge.
Source: Rfam by way of RNAcentral
GAAAUCCUGGAAUGUGCGAGGCCCCUUUUUAUUUUGAACCUACAUUGACAUGAAGGGACUCCAACAUCGCAGAUCGUGAUGUCAGACCUCUCGUUGUGGUAGGCAGAUCAUCUGUUGAGGACACCCACCUGGCUUCGGCUAGGCGUCAAAAGGAAGGGAACGGCAUUCCGGGACUUUC